This 289-nucleotide long non-coding RNA is filed under the name Salvia miltiorrhiza (redroot sage). Its description in RNAcentral is "long non-coding RNA (SMIL_LNC001969)". The record is from RNAcentral. Lineage: Eukaryota; Viridiplantae; Streptophyta; Magnoliopsida; Lamiales; Lamiaceae.
ACUUUUUGGCGCCGUUGCCGGGGACUGUUAAGAAGUUGCUUUAAUAUUUCCAAUAGGACUUUAUAGUACUACAGGUUUUAUUUGUUAUUAUUUUUUUCUUUUCUGACUUUUAAAAUGUGUGUUUCUGUAGGUUGCGUAUGAACACACGAUCUCACGGAAAUCCUCUUUUUGAGUUGGACCCUGAAAUCAACGCUACGUUGCGCACUCUCAAGAAACAGAAGAACCAAGUUGAGACAGAUACGAUGGCUACUCCUGAGCAAAUCCAAAUUCGAGCUCUGCAAGAGCAGUU